This 505-nucleotide ribosomal RNA is filed under the name uncultured bacterium. RNAcentral describes it as "partial 16S ribosomal RNA". It matches the Rfam family "Bacterial small subunit ribosomal RNA", at positions 28 to 507 of the family's 1533-position model. The record is from RNAcentral.
GACGAACGCUGGCGGCGUGCCUAAUACAUGCAAGUAGAACGCACAGUUUAUACCGUAGCUUGCUACACCAUAAACUGUGAGUUGCGAACGGGUGAGUAACGCGUAGGUAACCUGCCUGGUAGCGGGGGAUAACUAUUGGAAACGAUAGCUAAUACCGCAUAAUAUUGAUUAUUGCAUGAUAAUUGAUUGAAAGAUGCUAUUGCAUCACUACCAGAUGGACCUGCGUUGUAUUAGCUAGUAGGUGAGGUAACGGCUCACCUAGGCGACGAUACAUAGCCGACCUGAGAGGGUGAUCGGCCACACUGGGACUGAGGCACGGCCCAGACUCCUACGGGAGGCAGCAGUAGGGAAUCUUCGGCAAUGGACGAAAGUCUGACCGAGCAACGCCGCGUGAGUGAAGAAGGGUUUCGGAUCGUAAAGCUCUGUUGUAAGAGAAGAACGGGUGUGAGAGUGGAAAGUUCACACUGUGACGGUAGCUUACCAGAAAGGGACGGCUAACUACGUG